UACAUGUGGGGCAAGCGUUGUUCGGAUUUACUGGGCGUAAAGGGCGCGUAGGCGGCGUGGUAAGUCACUUGUGAAAUCUCUGAGCUUAACUCAGAACGGCCAAGUGAUACUGCUGUGCUAGAGUGCAGAAGGGGCAAUCGGAAUUCUUGGUGUAGCGGUGAAAUGCGUAGAUAUCAAGAGGAACACCUGAGGUGAAGACGGGUUGCUGGGCUGACACUGACGCUGAUGCGCGAAAGCUAGGGGAGCAAACGGG
RNAcentral lists this ribosomal RNA (253 nucleotides) under uncultured bacterium. Its description in RNAcentral is "partial 16S ribosomal RNA". It matches the Rfam family "Bacterial small subunit ribosomal RNA", at positions 524 to 776 of the family's 1533-position model. The record is from RNAcentral.